This 72-nucleotide transfer RNA is filed under the name Camelus bactrianus (Bactrian camel). It matches the Rfam family "tRNA". From Rfam's summary of the family: Transfer RNA (tRNA) molecules are approximately 80 nucleotides in length. Their secondary structure includes four short double-helical elements and three loops (D, anti-codon, and T loops). The record is from Rfam by way of RNAcentral. RNAcentral also lists the same sequence under 2 other names. Lineage: Eukaryota; Metazoa; Chordata; Mammalia; Artiodactyla; Camelidae.
GUGGGUAUAGUUUAGUGGUAGAAUGUGUGCUUAGCAUGCAUGAAGUCCUGGGUUCAACCUCCAGUACCUCCA